RNAcentral lists this transfer RNA (76 nucleotides) under Hyphomicrobiaceae bacterium. Its description in RNAcentral is "tRNA-Arg". It matches the Rfam family "tRNA". Rfam says of the family: Transfer RNA (tRNA) molecules are approximately 80 nucleotides in length. Their secondary structure includes four short double-helical elements and three loops (D, anti-codon, and T loops). Lineage: Bacteria; Pseudomonadati; Pseudomonadota; Alphaproteobacteria; Hyphomicrobiales; Hyphomicrobiaceae. The record is from RNAcentral.
GGUCCCGUAGCUCAACGGAUAGAGCACUUGGCUUCGAACCAAGGGGUUGGAGGUUCGAGUCCUUCCGGGACCGCCA